UACGAAGGGGGCUAGCGUUGCUCGGAAUCACUGGGCGUAAAGCGCACGUAGGCGGAUCUUUAAGUCAGGGGUGAAAUCCUGGAGCUCAACUCCAGAACUGCCUUUGAUACUGGGGAUCUCGAGUCCGGGAGAGGUGAGUGGAACUGCGAGUGUAGAGGUGAAAUUCGUAGAUAUUCGCAAGAACACCAGUGGCGAAAGCGACUUCCUGGACCAAUACUGACGCUCAUGUGCGAAAGCGUGGGGAGCAAACAGG
This 253-nucleotide ribosomal RNA is filed under the name uncultured bacterium. Its description in RNAcentral is "partial 16S ribosomal RNA". It matches the Rfam family "Bacterial small subunit ribosomal RNA", at positions 524 to 776 of the family's 1533-position model. The record is from RNAcentral.